UGUCAGGUUAAAAACAGACCUUUUUGAAGUAUAAACUUACCUUUACAUACUUGUUGAAAAGACCAUGUUCGAGUGCCAUGUAAACCUGUUUUCUUAUAUUAUUAUUAACUAUUAUAACACACGAUUACAAAUUGGAACUACUUGAAAACAAUGUUGAACUGAAGCAAAAAAAAAUACAUGUAAACAUAGAAAACUAAAAAAUUAAUUCUAAUUGCCGAACAAUUAUUAACCACAACCAGCCAAUAAAAAUUUAAAAAUAUAAUCUUGUCAUCUCAGUGUCCAAACCAAAGUACGAAAUUCAUUAAUUGAAUCUGAUUCGAAAUAAAAUAUGAUAUUCAAGCUUAAAAAAUUUCACACUUAAAUAAGUAGGUUAGAUUAUUUAAAUUGAAAUAUAAUUUUAGAAUAUAGAACUUUUCAGAUAAUUAUUUGGUGCAUAAAGGGCAUCUCAGUCAUUGCCGAUCUUAUGUGUGAUGAAACACACACAAAUUUUGAUGAAUACUAAAAAUAUGGUUAAUUCCAUGCUUGAAUUUUGAUUUAAAUCUUAUCAAAUUAUAGCACAACAAACUGUCGAUCUCAGUCUUCAGCCUCAAUAUUCCAAUUAUUGGAUUGCUUUAAUUAACAAACAGUUAAUAUAUGCUUUCCUUCCCUAGAAUAUGUUAUCCUGUAGUCUGGUUGUGGUUUUCCUUGCCAUGCAUGACAAUCAGUUUUCUUUUAUUUUCUCCAUCUCACAUCCCCCCCCCCCAAAAAAAAAAAUAAGUAUAGUUUGCUGCUUCAGUUCAUCCACAUUCAAAUAAGUUCCACUUUGUAAUUAAGUAAAUGCAAUAUCCUAGCCUAUUUCGACCUUAACUGUUUGUUUUGAAGUUGGGAAGGUUUUUUUAAAAAUCACAAAGUUUGUUCCAAAAUUCAAUAAUAAGAAAAACAAGUGAAGAGGACAACCCUCCUAUAAGUCAGUAAUGUAUAGAACUGCCUUGUCCCUCAACAAAUCCAUUUUAUUUGUGUCCAGGAAUAAUCGAACUCAUGUAUUAAGAGUGUGCUGGGAUAAAUAAGACAGGAGGAUUAAACAACAAGGCAGUUCGAUUCUAACAGUGCUAAUUGAUCACUAAUUGCUUUUUCUAAGACUCAAUAUUCAAGACUCAAAAAACAUCCAGAAUCAACAUUGAAAGAAAAAUUGUGAUUUUCAGAUGAACUUUCCAAACUUUCAACAAACAAUGAAAGUCCACUUAAACAAGAGAAGAUUGAGAUGGAACAUAAUUUACUGUUUUUACAAUGCAGUUUGAUAAGUUCAAAACACAAAGGACGAUGAGACAAAUGUUCAUCAAUGUUCUUUUAAUCCUUUAAUGAAAACAUGCUCCAAAUUAAUACCGAAAC
Non-coding RNA from Paramuricea clavata, 1368 nucleotides. The record is from the annotation of a GenBank genome assembly. Lineage: Eukaryota; Metazoa; Cnidaria; Anthozoa; Malacalcyonacea; Plexauridae.